This 3167-nucleotide long non-coding RNA is filed under the name Malus domestica (apple). Its description in RNAcentral is "long non-coding RNA (MDOM_LNC005085)". The record is from RNAcentral. Lineage: Eukaryota; Viridiplantae; Streptophyta; Magnoliopsida; Rosales; Rosaceae.
GAAUAAUCUAUCAAGUGACGAAUAAAAAUAUUUUCUAAUAUUAAAGAAAGCAUUUUUGCUCAUUACUUUAAACGUUGGUGUAUGCUCAUCAUACACUUAAUCAUCUAUCACGUGUUUUUUCACUUAAUCUUAGUUAUUUUUUUUUUAAAUUGAAAAAGUAACAUUCAAUGUGAAAAUUAAUUGUACUUAGGUAAAAGUACACACGACAAAUGAUUAGCUGUUUGGUGAGCAUACACCAUAGUUAUAGUGGUGAGCAAAAAUGCACCCAAUAUCAAAGGUUUACUGCUAACAGAAGAGCUCCAUGGUAUGUGUAGAGACAUAAGUUUACCACAUUUAAUAGGAGAAUGACACGUCAAUGUGACGGUUGUACCCUUGCCAUUGUGAUUGGACUACAUAAUUACACUGCAGGAUUAAGAUGUAGUUUAUCCUAAGGUAAUUGGGGCUUUAUGCCACUAACGCAUCAUGGGGCUCUCCGGGCCCCCUAGGUGUGGGCAUGGGCUCAUCAGGCUGCCUAUAAUGCAUUCUUCCAUCAGGGCUAUUCCUAGUUUAAUGAUGGUAGGGCACCUACUCUUCGGAGUCUUUCCUUGGGUGUCCAGCACACCUGCGAUUUUACCAACAGGGACCUUAAGGGUUACUAGCUGACAGGAUUCUGGAGACUGACCUGCACCAUCAAGACUGCUUAGUAUGUUUUAUAGCCUCCCCUCCCAGUUGCCUACUAGGGUUUCUUCCUUAUAUAUAGCCAAGUCAUUUAAAGAAAAUGGUAAUCACCAUUUACUACUCAGAACUCUCUCAAGUUCAAUUGUUCUCUCUAUUGCUUUUUUGACUUAGGCAUUGGAGGCCGUUUGGAAGACAGCCUCGCCCCUUCUCAGGAUGUUCAUCAUUUUAGUUGUGUACAAAAUUUUCAUCCACAAUAUGUGAGAGUAUCUUCAAUAGACUAACCAAAAUAUUUGGUUGAAACUUUCUUGUAGGCCCUUUGGCGAACAACCUCCCCCUUUUUUAGGGCGUUCAUCAAUUAGGCUAACGGUGUUUGUUCUCUUACAGGUGGAAUUUCACAUAUACGAGCUACACUGAGGGCUGGUGUAGGAGAAGAUUGAGAUGAAUUUCUACGAACAAAAAGUAAAGAAAAGGAAGUGUUAUAAAUUGACAAGAAAGGAUGCAUGAGAGAAAAACUCCAUCAAAUAUCAAAUAUGACGUUAAAAGAGGAAGAAUAACAUUUUGUUGGAUUUUUUGGGUUGCUUAGGGUAUCAAUGAAAGGUGGAGUUGAUGAGCACUUUGAUGUUUAAUAGGUCACGCUCAUGCAUCAUAUUAAUCCAUACCUAUGUAUCUGCUAGUGCACUUAUCUCAUGUUCAUGCAUUACAACUAUGUAGUCUUUAUUUUGCAUUUAUAUGCAUCACCUAGCUAUAUAAGGAUGGCUUGUACCCUUAAUUUUGACUUUCGAAUAAUCAAUCUACAGAAUAUCUAAAUUUCUCUCGUUGGGAGUGCUAAUGUCCUUGCGUUAUGCGUCAGUUGCAUUGGAAAAAUUGAAGAUUGAAGAUGCUUUGCUGUGCUGCUAGUCCUCUUCUUAUAGGGGUUCAAUACACUAGAGAUGACCAAACUUGGACAAAAGUUAUAAGUGGGUUUGUUGAAAGUGAAUAGAGAAAGAAGAUACUUUGCAUGAGUGCCUAAAUAAUUGGACUACUUUCCAUAUUGUCAAUUGGUUUUAUAGUGGAACUACAACUUUUUUUUAAGGCUAGUAAGAAAAAUGACAAGUCCAAUCCAAGUGAUAUUUUCUUGUAAAGAAAUCUGUUACUUUUUCUGUGUGACUUAGGUGUUCAUGUAAAUCUUCACCCCCUACCUUAUAUAUAGUUUUAAUCCUAGUCUUACCAUCCCACUCCUACUCAAUUCAAGAUGCUUUUUUUUUCUUUCUGAUUACACAUUAAUAAAUAAUGUCAUUAACCAAUUGUAAUUGCAAGUGGUCAAUUGUGUUAAUGGUUAAGAUCUUCUUAUUCAACCCACUACGUUUCAGAUUCAAACAUUUUCCUUUCUUUUAGUGUAGAAUAUGUAGUGUAGAAUAUGGUUUGUUAUAAAAAAAUCCAAUUAAAAGAAACUUUAAUUCAGAUGGCAUCACUGGUGGUUUUGAUAUAUACUUGCAAUGCAGCAUGCACCACUUAAAGGCAUGCAAAGAGAAAAUAGAAUGGGUUGACCUCAUGACCUGAGUCGUUCAUGGCGGCCUGUCUCUCUCUUUCGUACUUAUUCCAAGAUCGAUGUACAAGAUUUCAACGUCGAAAUUAACAUCUUUCUAUCUUUUCUUGAUAACUAGUCGAAAUUUAAAAUUUUUUCGUCGUUUGAUGUUUCUGGUAGGUAAAAAGGUUGACUGCGAGAGGUGGAGGCAUCUUUUCAGUUUCACUCUUCAGUUUUAUUUUCAUAUUUCUUUUCAACCCUUUUUGGACAAUUUUUCUCUUCACUGUCUUGGAAAGUUCUAACAUUCCUCCAUGCAUGCCCUUUGCCAUUUGGAAAUUUUUUUUGUUCUUUUCUUUCUGGAAAACACUUCUAUAAGAAUUCUUCAAUAACUUCACAAACUAAAAUGUUUUAUUUUUCUUCAUAAGGAGAUAUUUAUAGGAACAAAACUCGAAUGUUUUAUUUUUCUUCACAAAGAGAUACUUAUAAGAACCAAACGAAGCAAUAAUAAGAAAUAAAUUAAAUCAAAUCUUUGCCCAAAAGGGAAAUCUAACCAAACCAAAUCAAAUCAAAUUUUUAAAAUACUUUCCUUUAUAUUUCUAUCAUCAAAUUCAUAACAUAGAAAUUUUAAUCUAAUCCUGUUGGAUACAAUCCUGAAUGUUAGUCUUAAUAUCUAUUUUACGUGCAUUGAUCAACAUUCACACUUGUUCUUAAUGAUGGUUGUAAUUUGGUUUUUAUUUUUACACUAGAGCUAGAAGACUCCGCUUCAUGUUGAUUAUAUAUUCUUAUAAAUGAACUAUUAAGAUUUAUGCCUUAAAAAUGACUCUUUUAGUGUGAUAUCUUGCUUUACUUCUAGUUCAAUUUCUCCUCCUUGGUCACUCCAAGCUCGUGGGAAAAAUUGUAAUUUGUGGUUGCCGAACAUAGUUUUCUGUUUUUUCUCAUACAUUUCGAAAAUGGAAUACAAUUGCUGACAAAUUAGCCAAUUUAGGGUUUCUCUUGUCUUCACUUG